Molecule: ribosomal RNA, 301 nt
Filed under: uncultured bacterium
Lineage: Bacteria
Description: partial 16S ribosomal RNA
Rfam family: Bacterial small subunit ribosomal RNA
Source: RNAcentral
CAGUCGCCGCGGUAAUACGUAGGGUGCAAGCGUUAAUCGGAAUUACUGGGCGUAAAGCGUGCGCAGGCGGUUUGUUAAGACAGAUGUGAAAUCCCCGGGCUCAACCUGGGAACUGCAUUUGUGACUGGCAAGCUAGAGUCUGGCAGAGGGGGGUGGAAUUCCGCGUGUAGCAGUGAAAUGCGUAGAUAUGCGGAGGAACACCGAUGGCGAAGGCAGCCCCCUGGGCCAACACUGACGCUCAUGCACGAAAGCGUGGGGAGCAAACAGGAUUAGAUACCCCGGUAGUCCAUGUCUCUUAUAC